GAGAUGCGCUGUACGUGUGUCAUGAGGAGACUGUGUUUCAGAUACCGCAACUCUUCUAGUGACUCAAUAAAGCUACAUCACAUCUAGAUCUACAACAUGAUAGCCCGAAGUUUGUUACUCCUGCUUCUUUUUAUCAUGCUUUUGGUUUGUUGCACCAGCGGCUGCCACACAAAAGCAUCGGAAAAGUAUGAAAAGCAAGUUCUAGAACACCUAUUGGUUGCUAAUAAUUUGCCCAAGUUCUACACAUUCUAUAUAAUGACUGACGCUCGAUACAAAAAAACAAAAGAAAAAUUUAGGGACUUGAUACCUGUGAUGAAGAGUAGGUUAACCAAUGGUGAGAAGUCGCCCAGAGGCUGGAAUAUGGGUUUGUGGUAGAACAGAUCAAUUUCGGAAGCGGAGAUUCAAUGAAGCCUGCAAAACCAAAGAAAACAUUUCUCUUCAGUACCUCACAUCCAUUGCUUUUCUGUUUCUAAAAUUAGAGAUGAAAAUGAAAAUAAAAAAAAUGUUUAUUAUAUUUGACAAGAUGUUCGGAUUAUAAGAGAAUUAAAAGUAUGGAGACGAAAUCACUAUAUUGAGAGACGAGAAUUUCUGUUCAUUUUUCCACUGUUUCAAAAAAAAUAUUUUAACAACAAUGUGAUCUAUAACUUAAUCUAUAAUUUGAUCAAUCAUUGAAAAUAAAAAUCUGUAUAUAUAUAUAUA
Biomphalaria glabrata is the source of this 699-nucleotide long non-coding RNA. RefSeq lists it as uncharacterized. NCBI's taxonomy places the organism in Eukaryota, Metazoa, Mollusca, Gastropoda, Planorbidae. The record is from RefSeq and is a predicted model, not a curated record. The transcript is spliced from 4 exons.